AAAAAUUUAGUUAAAAAAUAACACUAGCCUGUCAAGCUAGAAUUGCUUUAAAAGCAUUUUUUA
Molecule: transfer RNA, 63 nt
Filed under: Hylastes opacus
Lineage: Eukaryota; Metazoa; Arthropoda; Insecta; Coleoptera; Curculionidae
Description: tRNA-Asp
Rfam family: tRNA
About the family: Transfer RNA (tRNA) molecules are approximately 80 nucleotides in length. Their secondary structure includes four short double-helical elements and three loops (D, anti-codon, and T loops).
Source: RNAcentral